GAGUUUGAUCGUGGCUCAGAUUGAACGCUGGCGGCAGGCCUAACACAUGCAAGUCGAGCGGUAGAGAGAAGCUUGCUUCUCUUGAGAGCGGCGGACGGGUGAGUAAUGCCUAGGAAUCUGCCUGGUAGUGGGGGAUAACGCUCGGAAACGGACGCUAAUACCGCAUACGUCCUACGGGAGAAAGCAGGGGACCUUCGGGCCUUGCGCUAUCAGAUGAGCCUAGGUCGGAUUAGCUAGUUGGUGAGGUAAUGGCUCACCAAAGGCGACGAUCCGUAACUGGUCUGAGAGGAUGAUCAGGUCACACUGGAACUGAGACACGGUCCAGACUCCUACGGGAGGCAGCAGUGGGGGAAUAUUGGACAAUGGGCGAAAGCCUGAUCCAGCCAUGCCGCGUGUGUGAAGAAGGUCUUCGGAUUGUGAAGCAC
RNAcentral lists this ribosomal RNA (425 nucleotides) under uncultured bacterium. Its description in RNAcentral is "bacterial SSU rRNA". It matches the Rfam family "Bacterial small subunit ribosomal RNA", at positions 9 to 433 of the family's 1533-position model. The record is from RNAcentral.